RNAcentral lists this ribosomal RNA (505 nucleotides) under uncultured bacterium. Its description in RNAcentral is "bacterial SSU rRNA". It matches the Rfam family "Bacterial small subunit ribosomal RNA", at positions 19 to 518 of the family's 1533-position model. The record is from RNAcentral.
CUGGCUCAGGAUGAACGCUAGCGACAGGCUAACACAUGCAAGUCGAGGGGCAGCAUAAAAGUAGCAAUACUUUGGUGGCGACCGGCGCACGGGUGAGUAACGCGUAUGCAACCUACCUACCAGAGGGGAAUAACCCGGCGAAAGUCGGACUAAUACCGCAUAAAACAGGGGCACCGCAUGGUGAUAUUUGUUAAAGAAAUUCGCUGAUAGAUGGGCAUGCGUUCCAUUAGGUAGUUGGUGAGGUAACGGCUCACCAAGCCGACGAUGGAUAGGGGAACUGAGAGGUUGGUCCCCCACACUGGUACUGAGACACGGACCAGACUCCUACGGGAGGCAGCAGUGAGGAAUAUUGGUCAAUGGGCGGGAGCCUGAACCAGCCAAGUCGCGUGAAGGAAGAAGGAUCUAUGGUUCGUAAACUUCUUUGCAGGGGAAUAAAGUGCAGGACGUGUCCUGUUUUGUAUGUACCCUGAGAAUAAGGAUCGGCUAACUCCGUGCCAGCCGCCGC